UACGUAGGUGGCAAGCGUUAUCCGGAUUUAUUGGGCGUAAAGGGAACGCAGGCGGUCUUUUAAGUCUGAUGUGAAAGCCUUCGGCUUAACCGGAGUAGUGCAUUGGAAACUGGGAGACUUGAGUGCAGAAGAGGAGAGUGGAACUCCAUGUGUAGCGGUGAAAUGCGUAGAUAUAUGGAGGAACACCGGUGGCGAAAGCGGCUCUCUGGUCUGUAACUGACGCUGAGGUUCGAAAGCGUGGGUAGCAAACAGG
This 253-nucleotide ribosomal RNA is filed under the name uncultured bacterium. RNAcentral describes it as "partial 16S ribosomal RNA". It matches the Rfam family "Bacterial small subunit ribosomal RNA", at positions 524 to 776 of the family's 1533-position model. The record is from RNAcentral.